UAAAAAACUUGCCAGUAUCUUCUAAAUUUGCAAAUGUGGAUCAAAAUAGAAGGAAAGACUUUUCAUACCUAUGUUAUCUGAAAGAACCCUAAGUUGGAAGCAACUCAAAUGUGGAUUAAGUGAACAGUGGACAAAGUGUGGUAUACUUAUACUAUUGAAAACUCUGAAGGAACUGGAAGGAAUAAAUCAAAGGUCUCCUUUUUAAAGACCCUUUAUGCCUUCCUGAUGAAAAGAUAGAGGCAGAAAGGAUGGCAGCUGACUGUUGGACAGAUUUUUCUCAGGUUCCUUUAAAGCCAUAACUGGAGCAUAUGAACUGUGAGUGUACAUAGAAGAGUACCUAGGACCAUUGCACCAUGGGGGAGAUGAGGAGUGACCUUGAAACCCUCCAUUGCCAUCUGGUCUCCCAUCUUCAUU
Diceros bicornis minor is the source of this 414-nucleotide long non-coding RNA. RefSeq lists it as uncharacterized. The record is from RefSeq and is a predicted model, not a curated record. The transcript is spliced from 3 exons. NCBI's taxonomy places the organism in Eukaryota, Metazoa, Chordata, Mammalia, Perissodactyla, Rhinocerotidae.